This 210-nucleotide unclassified non-coding RNA is filed under the name Hevea brasiliensis (rubber tree). The record is from RNAcentral. Lineage: Eukaryota; Viridiplantae; Streptophyta; Magnoliopsida; Malpighiales; Euphorbiaceae.
GAAGUCCUGGUCCGAUCGGACGAAGACCCUGGUCCACACCCAGGCAGACUUCGACUAGCGGCGUUGGAACUGUCCAGCGCCUCAAGCCGGACCUUGAUGAGCUUAGCUUUCUUCAACGCUUGAGCAACAUCAGCAUCCAUCCGCGACCGCAAGUCCUUGACGGCCUUGGCGUUGUGUAGAGUCUUGCUCUGCUCGUGAGCAGAUUGGAGA